CAGCCGCCGCGGGAACACGAAGGGUGCAAGCGUUAAUCGGAAUUACUGGGCGUAAAGCGCGUGUAGGCGGCCUGGGGCGUCCCAUGUGAUAGGCCACGGCUCAACCGUGGAGGAGCGUGGGAUACGCUCAGGCUAGAGGGUGGGAGAGGGUGGUGGAAUUCCCGGAGUAGCGGUGAAAUGCGCAGAUACCGGGAGGAACGCCGAUGGCGAAGGCAGCCACCUGGUCCACUUCUGACGCUGAGGCGCGAAAGCGUGGGGAGCAAACCGGAUUAGAUACCCCAGUAGUCCCUGUCUCUUAUAC
Molecule: ribosomal RNA, 301 nt
Filed under: uncultured bacterium
Lineage: Bacteria
Description: partial 16S ribosomal RNA
Rfam family: Bacterial small subunit ribosomal RNA
Source: RNAcentral